GCCUCGGUGCUGUAAUGGUAGCACGCUCCCGUGGUAUGGGUGAAACACGGUUCAAUUCCCGUCUGAGGGCU
Parelaphostrongylus tenuis is the source of this 71-nucleotide non-coding RNA. The record is from the annotation of a GenBank genome assembly. Lineage: Eukaryota; Metazoa; Nematoda; Chromadorea; Rhabditida; Metastrongylidae.